This 217-nucleotide long non-coding RNA is filed under the name Mytilus galloprovincialis (Mediterranean mussel). The record is from RNAcentral. Lineage: Eukaryota; Metazoa; Mollusca; Bivalvia; Mytilida; Mytilidae.
UCGGGGUCAGGUGAAUCCUGUCUGACGGACAUGUAGUUUAUAGGAUCCAAUAUACAAAAUGUGGGUAUCCUAUAACUCGUGAUAAGUGAGUAUUUCACAUGACAAUAAAAAGCUUCAUCCUACAAUCAUCCAACUAUUUUACAUUUCAUUUUCUGAAAAUAUUAAUACUUUGAAAAGCUUAAACCUAUUGAGGAUGUUGACCUAUAUAGCUUUUCUC